GUGGGUUCUUAGGUGGUUGAAGAGGGCAA
RNAcentral lists this non-coding RNA (29 nucleotides) under Homo sapiens (human). The record is from RNAcentral. Lineage: Eukaryota; Metazoa; Chordata; Mammalia; Primates; Hominidae.